CAGAGAGCCCUGCAGUUGUCUUUGGCAGAAUACAGGAGGGGUUUACCAUUGCCUCCUACCCACCAGGAAAAAAAACAGCAAGCAAAAAGAGUGAAGCAUGAAGAGAGAGUUAGAAGUGCGGAGAGAGGAGGUCCGGUCUACGUAGAAGGAAAGUGAUCUGAGAACAUUGAGAGUGUGGAGACAACGUUCGGCCUCAGUCGACGGUUCAGAAAAGAACGCAGGUAAGGAGAUUGGUUGGGAGCGAUGAAACAAAGUGACUACCUUCGGCAGGAAGGUAAUGUCCAGCCUAAGAACAACCUUUUCUUUGUGAAAAACCAGGUAAGGCGGGUCAAAAAUAAAUAAAUAAAUAAACAAACAAAUAAAUAAAUAAAGGCGGGUCAGUGCCUGAGUUCACUGACCCACCUGGCAGAAGUGAUGGCCAUGAGGAAAGCUACUUUACAGGAAAGUAGGUCCAGAGAAAUUGUAGCCAUGGGUUUGAAGGAAGGGUGCAUGAGAGAGGAGAGGACCAAGGUCAGGUCCCAUGUGGGUGCCAUGAUCGGAGGGUCCGGAUAGAGGUGAGUGAGUCCUUUAAGGAAAGGUUUGACCGUAGGGUGUUGGAACCAUGAUGGCGUAGACGGCGGGGAGUUAGCCACUAUGGCUGUGAGAUGAACGCGCAAGGAAGGUAUCUUAAGACCGGCCUCCUUGAGGGAGAGUAAGUAUGAGCAAAUAUGUUCCACAGAGACGGAGUGUGAGGAGAUGUCUCUGUCCUUCAGAAAGUUCUGAAAACGUGUCCAUUUAUGAGAAUAGGAGGCAACGGUAGCAGGUUUACAUGAGGCAUUGACUAUCCUCUGUAGGUUUACGGGCAGGUUGGGAUUAUGUGCCAAGCCGUGAGAUGGAGAUGCUGUAGGUCUUGAUGCAGGAGGCGACCGCCCUGGGGGGAGAGGAGGUGAGGGGUGUGUGGUAGGUGGUGGUAGUGAUGGCUGGAGAGGCAGAGGAGGCGGGGGAACCAGGGCCUCCUGGGCCACCAUGGGGCAAUGAGUAUGCAAUGCAGUCGGUCCUAGGAGAUUUUCUGAAGGACUUGAGGAAGUAGAUGAAUUGGAGGAAAAGCAUAGACUAGAUGUCCCGCCCAGUUCAAGGCAAACGCGUCCCCGAGGGAGUUGGGUCCGAUCCCGGACCUGGAGCAAUACAGGUGGCAUUGCGGAUUCAUUUCCAAUGCGAAGAGGUCUAUUUCUGGGAGGAACCAGCGGCAGAAGAGGGAGUGGCGUGUGGGGGGAUGUAGUUGCCAACUUGCCAUUCGUGUGACGUUGACUGACUCCUACUCAACCUGUCCGCCGUGACAUUGUUCUGUCCCUGAAUAUGGACCGCCAGGGGGAUGACGCCGUGCCGAAUGCACCAGAACCACAUUUCCAUGGCUAGGAAUAGGAGGGAGCUGGAGGAGGUGCCGCCCUGCCUGUUCAGCUAGGCCUUGGCGGUAGUAUUGUCCGUUUGGACCAGAAUGUGAGAGUCCCAUAUCGGGGGAGGAAAGCUCUUAGAGCCUUGAAAAUGGUCAGCAGUUUGAGGUAGUUGAUAUGGUGAGCGGCUUUGGUCGGGGACCAGAUGCCAUGGAUGUUGUGGCUGUUGGCGUGGGCACCCCAGCUGUCCAUGGAUGCAUCCGUAGUGAGCAGAAGGGCAUGACGCGGUGUUUGGAAGGGGGAGCCGAUGCUGAGGUUGGCGGAGUCUGUCUACCACAGAAGAGAACGUAGGACUUGAGGUGGGAGUAUAAGGGUGCGGGUGAGGGAAGCUUCGUGUGGGGAGAACACAGAGAGGAACCAAUGUUGCAGAGUCCUGGCACGCAGACGAGUGUGAGGGAGGACGUAGGUGGUGGAGGCCAUGUGGCCCAAUAGGCACUGGAUCGUUCAAGCUGGCUGACACAGGUGGUAGAGAAGGUGGGAUGACAAGUCCAGGAUAGCCUGGAUCCUGCGCUGAGGUAAGAUCUUUGACUGGAUGGAGUCGAAGAUGAUCCCCAAAAAUCUAUGGUUCUAGAAGGGUUGAGUUUCAACUUUUCGUAAUUCACCUGGAGCCCCAGGUUGGAAACGAGGUUGAUGACCGUGUGGAGAUCCCUCAGUAGGGAUUGUGGGUUGUUGGCUACCACAAGCCAGUCAUCAAGAUAUGGAAAAAUUUGAAUGUUUUUUGUUGCAGGGCCACCGCCACUGGAGCCAUGCAUUUGGUGAACACCCGCGGAGCAGAUGCCAGCCCGAAGGGAAGGGCGCGGAAAUGGGAUGAGCCAUCAAAGGGAAAAUCUUCCACCCUGGACCUAGCGUCGGGCAUAAGGCCAGAAGAUCGGAGCCAGGCGUGUUGACAAAGAACAACGGAGGUUGCCAUCACCUUAGCCGCGCCUUCUGUUAGGUGACGGAUUGCAUGGAGUUCCUGUUUUGAAACCUGCGUGGAUUCAUGCAGGAAGACUUUAGCAGGGCCCUGCUGUUCUUCAGGCAAAUGAUCUAAGAAGGGGGCAACAUGGUCCCACAGAAAGGACUGGUAUCUGGCGUAGUAGGCCUGAUAAUUUGUAAUUCUGCUCA
Hemicordylus capensis (graceful crag lizard) is the source of this 2534-nucleotide long non-coding RNA. RefSeq lists it as uncharacterized. The transcript has 3 exons. The record is from RefSeq and is a predicted model, not a curated record. NCBI's taxonomy places the organism in Eukaryota, Metazoa, Chordata, Lepidosauria, Squamata, Cordylidae.